GACGAACGCUGGCGGCGUGCUUAACACAUGCAAGUCGAACGGAAAGGCCCUGCUUUUGUGGGGUGCUCGAGUGGCGAACGGGUGAGUAACACGUGAGUAACCUGCCCUUGACUUUGGGAUAACUUCAGGAAACUGGGGCUAAUACCGGAUAGGGGCUCCUGCUGCAUGGUGGGGGUUGGAAAGUUUCGGCGGUUGGGGAUGGACUCGCGGCUUAUCAGCUUGUUGGUGGGGUAGUGGCUUACCAAGGCUUUGACGGGUAGCCGGCCUGAGAGGGUGACCGGCCACAUUGGGACUGAGAUACGGCCCAGACUCCUACGGGAGGCAGCAGUGGGGAAUAUUGCACAAUGGGCGGAAGCCUGAUGCAGCAACGCCGCGUGCGGGAUGACGGCCUUCGGGUUGUAAACCGCGUUCGCCUGUGACGAAGCGUGAGUGACGGUAAUGGGUAAAGAAGCACCGGCUAACUACGUGC
RNAcentral lists this ribosomal RNA (469 nucleotides) under uncultured bacterium. RNAcentral describes it as "partial 16S ribosomal RNA". It matches the Rfam family "Bacterial small subunit ribosomal RNA", at positions 28 to 508 of the family's 1533-position model. The record is from RNAcentral.